UAGCUUGCUAGACUGAUGGCGAGUGGCGAACGGGUGAGUAACGCGUAGGAAUAUGCCUUGAAGUGGGGGACAACUUGGGGAAACUCAAGCUAAUACCGCAUAAUGUCUAAGGACGAAAGCUGGGGACCUUCGGGCCUGGCGCUUUAAGAUUAGCCUGCGUCCGAUUAGCUAGUUGGUGGGGUAAGGGCCUACCAAGGCGACGAUCGGUAGCUGGUCUGAGAGGAUGGCCAGCCACACUGGAACUGAGACACGGUCCAGACUCCUACGGGAGGCAGCAGUGGGGAAUAUUGGACAAUGGGGGGAACCCUGAUCCAGCAAUGCCGCGUGUGUGAAGAAGGCCUGAGGGUUGUAAAGCACUUUCAGUGGGGAGGAGGGUUGAUAGGUUAAGAGCUAAUUAACUGGACGUUACCCACAGAAGAAGCACCGGCUAACUCCGUGCCAGCAGCCGCGGUAAUACGGAGGGUGCAAGCGUUAAUCGGAAUUACUGGGCGUAAAGCGUGCGUAGGUGGUUGAUUAAGUUAUCUGUGAAAUCCCUGGGCUUAACCUGGGCAGGUCAGAUGAUACUGGUUGACUCGAGUAUGGGAGAGGGUAGUGGAAUUUCCGGUGUAGCGGUGAAAUGCGUAGAGAUCGGAAGGAACACCAGUGGCGAAGGCGGCUACCUGGCCUAAUACUGACACUGAGGCACGA
This 687-nucleotide ribosomal RNA is filed under the name Legionella parisiensis. RNAcentral's name for it is "bacterial SSU rRNA". It matches the Rfam family "Bacterial small subunit ribosomal RNA", at positions 76 to 756 of the family's 1533-position model. Lineage: Bacteria; Pseudomonadati; Pseudomonadota; Gammaproteobacteria; Legionellales; Legionellaceae. The record is from RNAcentral.